CCUACGGGUGGCAGCAGUCGAGAAUCAUUCACAAUGGGGGAAACCCUGAUGGUGCGACGCCGCGUGGGGGAAUGAAGGUCUUCGGAUUGUAAACCCCUGUCAUGUGGGAGCAAAUUAAAAAGAUAGUACCACAAGAGGAAGAGACGGCUAACUCUGGACCAGCAGCCGCGGUAAUACAGAGGUCUCAAGCGUUGUUCGGAAGCACUGGGCGUAAAGCGUGCGUAGGCUGUUUUGUAAGUCGUGAGUGAAAGGCGCGGGCUCAACCCGGGGACGGCAUAUGAUACUGGGAGACUAGAGUGAAGGAGGGGGAAGCGGAAUUCUCGGUGUAGCAGUGAAAUGCGUAGAUAUCGAGAGGAACACUCGUGGCGAAGGCGGGUUCCUGGACAUUAACUGACGCUGAGGCACGAAGGCCAGGGGAGCGAAAGGGAUUAGAUACCCUAGUAGUC
RNAcentral lists this ribosomal RNA (446 nucleotides) under uncultured bacterium. Its description in RNAcentral is "partial 16S ribosomal RNA". It matches the Rfam family "Bacterial small subunit ribosomal RNA", at positions 338 to 795 of the family's 1533-position model. The record is from RNAcentral.